AGAGUUUGAUCCUGGCUCAGAACGUACGCUGGCGGCACGCCUAACACAUGCAAGUCGAACGAAGUAGCAAUACUUAGUGGCAGACGGGUGAGUAACAUGUGGGUAUCUACCCUUUGGCCUGGAAUAACACGAGGAAACUUGUGCUAAUACCGGAUAAGUCUUUACGGAGAAAGCUUUAUGCACCAUUGGAUGAGCCCGCACUUGAUUAGUUUGUUGGUAGGGUAAUGGCCUACCAAGACUAUGAUCAAUAGCUGAUUUGAGAGGAUGAUCAGCCACAUUGGGACUGAGACACGGCCCAAACUCCUACGGGAGGCAGCAGUGGGGAAUCUUGCACAAUGGAGGAAACUCUGAUGCAGCGAUGCCC
Molecule: ribosomal RNA, 364 nt
Filed under: uncultured bacterium
Lineage: Bacteria
Description: bacterial SSU rRNA
Rfam family: Bacterial small subunit ribosomal RNA
Source: RNAcentral